AGUGAAGAAGGGUUUCGGCUCGUAAAGCUCUGUUGUUAAAGAAGAACGUGGGUGAGAGUAACUGUUCACCAGUGACGGUAUUUUAACCAGAAAGCCACGGCUAACUACGUGCCAGCAGCCGCGGUAAUACGUAGGUGGAAAGCGUUAUCCGGAUUUAUUGGGCGUAAAGCGAGCGCAGGCGGUCUUUAAGGUCUAAUGUGAAAGCCUUCGGCUCAACCGAAGCAGUGCAUUGGAAACUGGGAGACUUGAGUGCAGAAGAGGACAGUGGAACUCCAUGUGUAGCGGUGAAAUGCGUAGAUAUAUGGAAGAACACCAGUGGCGAAGGCGGAUGUCUGGUCUG
RNAcentral lists this ribosomal RNA (340 nucleotides) under Pediococcus acidilactici. RNAcentral's name for it is "bacterial SSU rRNA". It matches the Rfam family "Bacterial small subunit ribosomal RNA", at positions 404 to 736 of the family's 1533-position model. The record is from RNAcentral. Lineage: Bacteria; Bacillati; Bacillota; Bacilli; Lactobacillales; Lactobacillaceae.